AUCCAGUCACUCUCUCUCCACUCUCUAUGUCAAAAACCCAUUUCAUCACGGAUUAUCCACCACCACCAUCAUCAAGAGUUUUUAGAUCUGUUUGGUUCAAGGAAGAAGAAGGUUAUAGCCAUGACUUCUGGUGAUUCGAGUAAAUACGUAUGGAAGAUUGAAAACUUUUCUAGCUUGAGUUGCAAGAGACAUUACUCUGAAAUUUUCUCUGCAUGUGGUAUUAAAUGGACUUUGUGUAUUGAACCAAAAGGGCGCCAUCAAACUCACAAAUCACCUGCAGGCGGGGUUGUAACAUGGAAUAGAACAAAAUUUGUAAUGGGCAUUCAACCUUAUGGCACCGGAUCGUGGUACGUCGAGUACCGUUUGUCUGUUAUCGAUCUAAAAGAUAGAGAGCAAACAAGAAAUUAUGAUAACGAACGUGAAAUGCGUGCCGCUUGCAUGGCAUUCUGAGAAGCAAUGCAUCUUACGGAACUGCUUGACCCAAAAAGAGGAUUUCUGGUUGAUGAUAUUUGUUAUAUUAAAGUACAUAUCAUUGGUGCUAUGAAGAUAGUAAGAACCUACCAGCCAAAGCCAGAGCCUGUUCAGGCACUCACUGGUGUAACAAUCCUGGCACUCACCGCGAAGAAUGAAAAAACAGGGAAUUCUAAAGAAAAGAAGGAAAAAGCUCAUUCAGUAGAGGCGAUGAUACAAUCUGCAGGUGAUUCAUCAAUUUCAGUGUCGAAUAAGAAUCCGGGAGAAAAUCAAAAUACAGAAGCAAAGGAUGAAAAAAGAAGCUUAUCGUUUUCUAAUUGGUUUCAAGAGCGAAUAGAGAAGAUUGAGAUCUUCAUCUCAUUCUUAAGUUAGCCUACACUUUAAUCUCCAUAUAUCUGUGUUAGUAAUUUGAUUCUGUGAUCACUUUGUCUUCUCAAACACCCUUUCCAUCCAUACAUGGCAAGUUAAUGACGCUUUGCUUAAUUAAGAUGGUCAAAUUAUGA
This is a long non-coding RNA of Papaver somniferum (opium poppy), 974 nucleotides long. RefSeq lists it as uncharacterized. NCBI's taxonomy places the organism in Eukaryota, Viridiplantae, Streptophyta, Magnoliopsida, Ranunculales, Papaveraceae. The record is from RefSeq and is a predicted model, not a curated record. The transcript is spliced from 5 exons.